RNAcentral lists this ribosomal RNA (495 nucleotides) under uncultured bacterium. RNAcentral's name for it is "partial 16S ribosomal RNA". It matches the Rfam family "Bacterial small subunit ribosomal RNA", at positions 28 to 507 of the family's 1533-position model. The record is from RNAcentral.
GACGAACGCUGGCGGCGUGCCUAAUACAUGCAAGUAGAACGCUGAAGGAGGAGCUUGCUUCUCUGGAUGAGUUGCGAACGGGUGAGUAACGCGUAGGUAACCUGCCUGGUAGCGGGAGAUAACUAUUGGAAACGAUAGCUAAUACCGCAUAAGAGUAGAUGUUGCAUGACAUUUACUUAAAAGGUGCAAUUGCAUCACUACCAGAUGGACCUGCGUUGUAUUAGCUAGUUGGUGAGGUAACGGCUCACCAAGGCAACGAUACAUAGCCGACCUGAGAGGGUGAUCGGCCACACUGGGACUGAGACACGGCCCAGACUCCUACGGGAGGCAGCAGUAGGGAAUCGUCGGCAAUGGACGGAAGUCUGACCGAGCAACGCCGCGUGAGUGAAGAAGGUUUUCGGAUCGGAAAGCUCUGUUGUAAGAGAAGAACGAGUGUGAGAGUGGAAAGUUCACACUGUGACGGUAUCUUACCAGAAAGGGACGGCUAACUACGUG